CUUGAUCGAGCCCAGCCACAGCGGCUGUUCAGGCUCCCGGUCCUGCCCGUAAGUGGCGAGCAGUGCCUGGGCCUC
RNAcentral lists this antisense RNA (75 nucleotides) under Streptomyces antibioticus. RNAcentral's name for it is "ASpks TB sRNA". It matches the Rfam family "ASpks TB sRNA". The record is from Rfam by way of RNAcentral. Lineage: Bacteria; Bacillati; Actinomycetota; Actinomycetes; Kitasatosporales; Streptomycetaceae.